UUGACAGACCUGGGGACUGAGGUCUUCUCUUCAUCUAUAGCACAGGUACAGCAGGGGCAGAGGCAAGAGGAACUCCCUGCAUUCCGACAGCUCACCUGGAGGGUCUACAUCUAGAGAUCAGAAAGCAGUUUAGACUCCAUGCUUAUUCAGUUUUUGCUGAGU
RNAcentral lists this small RNA (162 nucleotides) under Chrysemys picta bellii (western painted turtle). RNAcentral describes it as "TUC338 (ENSCPBG00000027864.1)". Lineage: Eukaryota; Metazoa; Chordata; Testudines; Emydidae. The record is from RNAcentral.